Molecule: long non-coding RNA, 8400 nt
Filed under: Zea mays
Lineage: Eukaryota; Viridiplantae; Streptophyta; Magnoliopsida; Poales; Poaceae
Description: long non-coding RNA (ZMAY_LNC005638)
Source: RNAcentral
UCGCCUCGCUUAGAACCUCUCGUGCUAAUUAUAUUAGUUAUUUGUUGGAUAGCUACUAGUGUGGUAGAUUUAAUCAAAACUAUAUAGCGGCUAUAAGUUAUACUUGAUAUUGUCAAGUUAAAUGUUAUGGUUAAUACUUGUUUAGCGUUAACGCGCUAACUUCUCAGCUGUAGCUUCGAGUUCGAUGUUUCUUUCCCUCGCGUGAUCGUAGAAUCGAGCUCUAGUUGAUGCUGCAUGUUUUUAUAACAUUUUAUCUUGUAUGGUGUAAUGUUCUUAUGCAUAUGUAUAUGUUUGUUUGCUUGUGCCGGUUUGUCUUCGCUUCGCGUUGCGACUAGAUCGUGAUUCGUUUCCAAACUUCGAGGAAUCGAUGAUCAAGCGCUGGCGACCAAGUGAUCUGGCUCUUCGAGUUCUACAAGAUUGAAGACCCUGACCAUCUGUUUGGUGAAGGCAAGUGUCCUUUGACCUAUUAUGUCCCAUUUACUUUAUAAUUCAUCAACCCGCAUACCAUGAUCAACCUAAGGAUUGACUAGCUUUGUAUUUACCUUGUCCUUGCUUACCUUUUGGGUUAUUAUGGUUAGCAUUUUGCUAUUGCCUUAACUUAAUCAAUGAACAUGAUGUGACUAUUUAUGAUACGAUACUGUUAUCCUGAUUAUGCUGUUGAUCUUGUGAUACUCUAGGGGGCUCAGGCUGUUUCCUGAGUACCUCUCCGUAAGGACCUGUUCGUUGAGAGACCACCCGGGAUAACAGUGCAACCAUGAGGGUGGAAUGGGGUGCCCUUAGCUAAUUAAUUAGAGGAACUAGAGGUGUAGUUGCUUCGCCGUCGUGCCGUCAAUGGGGUCCAGGCACAGUGCUUGCUCUGCCGAGGCUGGGUGCCGAGGUUCUUUCGUUUUGCUUUUGUUAGUCACCCCCCUUCGGGGAGAGGUACUGUGUUUAUCAAACUGGAGAAACCUAACGGGCGGCUAUGACCUCUAGGGAAUCUUUGUAAAAGCUACGUAGUGAUACCCUGCCGGACCACCUAGGAAGUGAUCAAUGGGGAGUCAUGAUCCCCGGGCAAAACGGGAAUCACGGCUCAUGGGUAAAGUGUACGACCUCUGCAGAGUGUUAUGAAACUGAUAUAUCAGCCGUGCUCACGGUUAUGAGCGGCCUUGGGAUCCUCUUUGAUUAGAGAUACAGAUGGUUCAAUAUACAAUGAUUCUAUUGAUGGUUUUGGUUCGAUGAUGAUAAUGAUGUUUCCUCGAUGAGGAAAUGGUUCACGGGUUGGUUAUUACUAAAACUUGGCUUCCACUGAUAAUAAAUAUCUGACCAACUAAAAGCAACUGCUUGAGCUUAACCCCACAUAAAGCUAGUCCACCUCAGCCAAACGGGACAUUUGCUGAGUACGUUGAUGUGUACUCACCCUUGCUUUCACAAAACACCAGGUUGCCUUUGGUGCAAUCUAUGCUCAGGUAAAGAAGAAGGCGUCGAGGUGGAUCUCCAGGAGUUCCAGGAUGUUGAUGAGUUCGAGGAUUAGGCUAGCGAUCUCCCCCAGUCAGCUGCCUGUGGUGGGUUGUUUACGUUGGCUACGUUUCGAUUCUGCGUACUUUGAUUUAUAUUAUGUAAAUGACUCUAGUCUGUAAUAUUAUUACUUACUCUUUAUUGUAAUUCGAAGCAUUGUGCUAUGAUGAGUCAUUUAUGUAAUCGCUGUGUACGUGAAUUACUGAUCCUGGCACGUACAUGGUUCGCAUUCGGUUUACCUUCCAAAACCGGGUGUGACAUAAGUGGUAUCAAAGCCGUGCUGACUGUAGGACCGCUGACCUAGAGUAGCAUUGGCCGUUUUAAGGACUUAUUGAUUAUUACUUCACCCCAUCCUUGAUUCUGCUUCAAAAUAUUAGUCAGCUUGACUAAUUCUAUGUUGUUCUCCUAUAUGCCCCCUUGCCAAAAGUAUUUUAUUCUAGUAUGGUCUAUACUUCUCUCAAUCUAUUAGAUCUGAUCUCACUCUUAUGCUUGCGACAUCUUUGUUGAUGCCCCCUGACCAUGGCCUUUAGUCUUUUGGGACUCUUUCCUCAUCCAUUAUUAAAUUGCUACCAUUUGACCAUCUCUAUUCCAUUUUGUUAUUGACAUGCUCGUAUCCUUGCAUUUUUAAUACCCUUACCCCUUAAUCUAAAGCACUUACUCUUGUACAUCUACUACCUAUUUAAACAUUUCAGUUUAUAUGUCCAUGAUCUUACCGUCUUUUGAGACCCUUUCCUAUUCUAUUGAUAAGUCGCUAUCUUUUGGCAAUUUGUACUUUCUUGGUUUUGGUAUGCUCGUACCAUUGGAAUCUUGCAUACUCUUAUUUUUAUAUAUGCUUACCUUUAUGUCCCAAUAUCUGUUUGAAAUAUUUCAGUUAACACGCCCUUGACCACCCUUGUUUCCUAAUGAUCCAUGAGUGAUCAUUUUAUUUUGCACACCUGUAGUAUCUCGCGAGUUUGUAACCUCAUCCUUGUUGUGCUUUUGUUUCUUAUUGCCUUUACCCUUCUCAUCUCUUAAUCUUACCUUAGCGAUUACGUUAUGUUUGUUAUCUAAAACCUCCAAUCUCCCACCUUAGUUCAAGCGUGGUCUCUUACUUAUCUCACCCUUGACUAUAUCCUCUUCUUUACCGCGUGUAGGCCCAGACUUAACUCCAUUCGUUAUUGUAUUUGUACCACUUGCUCUUCUAUGCCUUUAUCUUUUAUCUUGCACCCUUGUCCGUUAUCGCCUUUGGCCCUUGCGAUAUUUAUGUCUUCUACCUAAAUGCUUACCUUAAACUUAUCCUUUAAAUCCUCCCCUUUCUUCAACCCAGUUUGAGAGUUGCGAGUUACCUACCUUACCCUUGAUUGUUUUCUCCACUUCGUGAGUCUUGCCUGAGCUCUAUCCUUAUGCUUUUCAUUAUUAGCACCUUUACCUUUGACACCUCUAUAUCGUACAUUGAUGUUUAUCUUAUACCUGCCCUUUAAAUUCCCCUCUUUUCCACCUCAAUUUGGGAGUGGCAAUUUACCUAUCUGGCCCUUGAAUGCAUCCUUUCCUCUAACACUUGCAGGUCCUGUCUUAACUCCAUCCUCUGUGGCAUUUAUAUUCUUUGUCUUAUGCCUGUUUACCUCCUCUCCUACAUCCUUGUUCGUUAUUACUUUCAAAACCCUCGUGAUAUAUAUGCCCUUGUCUUCCUGCUUAAUUUGAACCUACCCUUUAAAGCCUCCUCUUCUCCAUCCCGGUUUGAGGAAUAAUGCCUCACCUACUUCACCAGUGGUUGCUUACCCUUCCUUGACGCCUUGCAAGUCUUGUUUAAAAUACAUCAUUUAUUGUGUGUUUGUCCGUUAUCACCUUAACCCUUGUCAUCCCUCAAUCUUUAUCUUGAUGCUUAUCCUGUACCUGCAUUUUAAAGCCGCCUUUUCUAUUUCAUUUCAAGAGUGAUGUCUUACCCAUUCCGCUCUUGUUCGUUCCCUAUUCCUCUGUCGUGUUGCAAGUCUUGUCUUAACUCGACCUUUUGGUGUGCUUUUGCUUGUUACCUCCUUUACCUUUUUAAUCAUCAGAUCUUUCCAUGAAGCUUAUCCUAUGCCUACCUUUUGAAAUAUCAUCGUUUCCAUCUCAAUUUGAGAAUGGUGUUUUACCUAUCCCGACCUUGCUUUGCAUUUUCUCCCAGCUCGGUUACAAUUCUUGCUUUAGCUCCAUCCUUUAUUAUGCUCAUGCCCCUAUCUUGUAUGUCUUAUCAUUCCCCUUGUCUUUUGAUGACCUUAGAUUAGUUUCCCCUUUGUAAGGAAAGACCACCAUCUAGUUAACAUUAACGUGUAGCAACGAGAUGUUUUGUUGCUGUGUGCUCGUGAUGUUUGUCCUUAUGUUAUGACUGAUUUGCUUCUUUGUGAUGAGUGUUGAUGUGUUGUGGCCCUUGGUCUGCAAUGACAUCAGUUUAUUAGGUGAGUGCCAUAUAGUUAAGCAGUUGGGUUCCCCCCUGCUCUCUCUAAUCCAUUUAUACGUACCUUUUCUCGCUAUUCUUUCCUCUUGCACCUGUCCAUUUGGCAACCUUCAAUUCCUUCAAAUCAGACAAGAUCAGAGUCGGCAACAUCUUCACCAAGUGCAUAUCAACGCUCUUGUUAAGGGGGUUAGCCGCUAACCCCAAUGAAGACAAUGCGAUCCACGUCAACCAACAAGAUCAGAGUGGCGCAGCGAAAGCGUGUGUGGGUCCAGCCCAUAGGUCAAAGAGAUCUUCACGAAUUGCAUCAACCGUCUCAAGCAUCUGAAGGUCAAAGCAACCAACCCACAAGUCAAGCCGGCGGAGUCAAAGCCGUGUUAGAAGAAUCUACAAAAAAAACCAAUAAACCAAUCUCAUUUUCUUGCUAGCCUCUUCUUGAAUCUCGAGGGCGAGAUUCCGUUAAGGGGGUUAGAUUUGUAACACCCUGAAUUUGGGGUAUAAAAUUUCUUUGCUCAUAUUCACAAAUUCGGGUGUUACUCCUCUCUUCACACCUUUCCCAAUCUCCUCUUUCUCUUUUCUAUAGAAGAAGAGUGGCUAUUUUUAUGUGUAAUUAUAGUCUAGUAGGCUGGACUCCAAGGGAGUAUGAAAUGUUGCAUCAUGUUGAACCCUAAACUUCACUUUUGUUUGAUGCAUAUGCUUGAGGGUGCUAAUUUGAAUUUGUGGCAUAUUUGAAUUUGAAUCAAAUGGAGUAAAUAAAAAUAAAAGGGAAAACAAUUGCUGCAAUAAAAGAAAAAGGUAAAGUGGCCCAUCCCCCCUUCCCUGGCCCAUUCGGCUAGCCCAGCCGCCCCCUGCUUCCCCCUCUCUUUUGCCCCCCGCUCGGCCCAGCGCCACUCUCCUUUCUUGGGCCUGCGCGAGGCGGCCCAGCUCCGCGUCGCCCCCCCCCCCCCCCCCCCAGCCCAGCGCGCCAGCCUUUCCCCCCUCUCGUGGGCCGCGCGAGCGCCAGCCCAGCUCCCGCGCCAGCCCCGCGCCCAGCCAGCUACGCGGCCCAGCUCCCUUUCGGCCCUGCCAGCGCGCCUGGCCCAACGUCGCCCCCCCUCUCCCUUGGGCUGCCUGCGCUGCUCGGCCCAAUCGCGCGCUGCAGCCCCACGAUGCGUGCUCAGGCGCUCCUGAGCGCCGCCGGAGCCCCUGUUCAUCUUCCCCUACCGUCUCUCUCUCCCCCAACUUCUCUCCCUCCUUCCCCAUGAUGCGCAACACCAUUUUUCCUCUCCCUGAUGCUCGCAACCGCCCCUGCUCCUGCGUCUGGAGUUCCGCCGUGCCGAGCUCGUCCCGCCGUCCACGGUCGCCGUGAACGCACGGCCGGUGCUCGAUCCCCGGCGAAGCUUGCCCCUGCGCGGCGGCCAUCGCAGCCUGCUCGUCGCCCCCUGCGUGGUGGCCUGCGGCUAGCCAGCGCGCGGCGGCCCGCUAGCGUGGCCUGCUCGCGGCUAGCCUGGCCUAGCCCUGCGCGACGCUUCCCUGCCCGAUGCGGGUCUUUGCAGCGUGGGAAAGUAGGCCUCGCCGUUGGGCCCCACCAGGCGAUCGACAUCCUCGGCCGAGUUUUCCCGUGGCGGUUCCGUUCGUAUGCGCGGUCGUCUCCUUCCGAGGAGGAUGAAGAGGUAACUGCUCUGUGAUUCGAUCUGCAGGAUUCUAUGCGUAGAAUUCCAUGUGGCCUUCUGUGUGGUAGGUGGUCGACCAAUGAGACCGUGACACAUCGGCUAUAAUCCGCAAAAGAUUACUUAUUCAAUAUAAUUCACAUUGUAAAUCCGUUUUGACCCGUUACAGAUUUCAUUAGUUUCGUAAUGAAAUUGUCUAUGUGUUAGUAAUAUUACUUUGCUGCAACGUGCGUUUUAUAUAAUUAAUAAAUUAUUUGUUCAUCCAUUAGUUAUUAAAAAUUCACCAGCCAAUUAAAAACUAAUCUAUAGUUUAAAUCUGCGCAUUUGUAUAUGAUUAUUCUGAUCGAAGUGCUUUUGAAUUAAUAUGUUUAAUAUACACAUGAUAUUUGUUAGUGAUCCCUGCACGUCGCGUGCGCUGUCGCACGCGUUGUUUCGCGUGCCAUCCACACGUUGUUUCGCGCAUUGCAGCAUGCUGAUUCGCACGCAGUUCGCGCAUUGUCGCGCACAUUAUUUCGUCAGUCAGUCGCAUGCUGUUUGCGCGUCACCAUUGUUCGAUCGUGCGUUCGCGCUGCGUGUCUGGUGCGCGCGAUGUCGCGUGCUGUUCGCUCACAUCGUCACGCGCUAUUUGCUCGUGGUCACACGUGGUCGUGCGCGCUUUCCGUGUGCUCCUUCACACGUGACGCGCGCGCUGUUCCCACGUGUGACGAUCGUUGUCGUCGUGUCGCAUAUUUUAGUUGAAUAACCAAUUAUUAGUUUGUUCGAAGGUUAAUAAAAUAACAAUCUAAUUAGAACGAGUCUAUAGCUUUAACUCGUGCUUUUACAAGGAUAAAUGUUAAUUAAUGUGAUUAAUACCAACUGAAAUACUUUUCGUUAAUUAUUUGUUUGUUGUUCGCGCGCGACAUCGUUUGCGCGUUAUCGUGCUGUUCGUGCGCGUAGACGUGUUGACUCGCACGUGUCGCGCGCUGCCAUGCACGUUGUUUCGCAUGUCGCCGUGCUGCUUCGCGAGCGUCGUCGCGUGUGCUGUUCGCACACGUUGUCGCGCACCGUUCGCGUGUGUCGCGCGGCGUCUGCGCGUGAUAAUAAAUAGUUUGUCGCUUAUAAGCACUCAUGUUAAUAACGUUAGUUCGUCAGAUCGCAUAUUUUAGAUAAUUAACUUAAAGUUUGCUCGACUAAUAUUUACUAGAUUAAUAUUUCAAUCAGAUUAAAUAUGUAGUGUUCAACUUGGGCUUUUAUAAUAAACAUUGACAUGACAAAUAUCAAGUUAACUACUAUUUAUAUAUUUAAUAUUUGUUUAGUACAAAUGCGUCACCUGUUUAGUUUUUCGCCUGUCGCGCGUGUUGUUCCGCACGUGGUAACGUGCUGGUCCACGCGUCGUUCGCGCCGGUCGUCCGCCCUGUCCCGUGCGUCGUUCGCGUGCUAUGUCGCGUGUGUCCACUCGUCGUCUGCACGCUGUCGUAUUGUUUCGUGCGUCGUAAUUCGCCUCGCUUAGAACCUCUCGUGCUAAUUAUAUUAGUUAUUUGUUGGAUAGCUACUAGUGUGGUAGAUUUAAUCAAAACUAUAUAGCGGCUAUAAGUUAUACUUGAUAUUGUCAAGUUAAAUGUUAUGGUUAAUACUUGUUUAGCGUUAACGCGCUAACUUCUCAGCUGUAGCUUCGAGUUCGAUGUUUCUUUCCCUCGCGUGAUCGUAGAAUCGAGCUCUAGUUGAUGCUGCAUGUUUUUAUAACAUUUUAUCUUGUAUGGUGUAAUGUUCUUAUGCAUAUGUAUAUGUUUGUUUGCUUGUGCCGGUUUGUCUUCGCUUCGCGUUGCGACUAGAUCGUGAUUCGUUUCCAAACUUCGAGGAAUCGAUGAUCAAGCGCUGGCGACCAAGUGAUCUGGCUCUUCGAGUUCUACAAGAUUGAAGACCCUGACCAUCUGUUUGGUGAAGGCAAGUGUCCUUUGACCUAUUAUGUCCCAUUUACUUUAUAAUUCAUCAACCCGCAUACCAUGAUCAACCUAAGGAUUGACUAGCUUUGUAUUUACCUUGUCCUUGCUUACCUUUUGGGUUAUUAUGGUUAGCAUUUUGCUAUUGCCUUAACUUAAUCAAUGAACAUGAUGUGACUAUUUAUGAUACGAUACUGUUAUCCUGAUUAUGCUGUUGAUCUUGUGAUACUCUAGGGGGCUCAGGCUGUUUCCUGAGUACCUCUCCGUAAGGACCUGUUCGUUGAGAGACCACCCGGGAUAACAGUGCAACCAUGAGGGUGGAAUGGGGUGCCCUUAGCUAAUUAAUUAGAGGAACUAGAGGUGUAGUUGCUUCGCCGUCGUGCCGUCAAUGGGGUCCAGGCACAGUGCUUGCUCUGCCGAGGCUGGGUGCCGAGGUUCUUUCGUUUUGCUUUUGUUAGUCACCCCCCUUCGGGGAGAGGUACUGUGUUUAUCAAACUGGAGAAACCUAACGGGCGGCUAUGACCUCUAGGGAAUCUUUGUAAAAGCUACGUAGUGAUACCCUGCCGGACCACCUAGGAAGUGAUCAAUGGGGAGUCAUGAUCCCCGGGCAAAACGGGAAUCACGGCUCAUGGGUAAAGUGUACGACCUCUGCAGAGUGUUAUGAAACUGAUAUAUCAGUCGUGCUCACGGUUAUGAGCGGCCUUGGGAUCCUCUUUGAUUAGAGAUACAGAUGGUUCAAUAUACAAUGAUUCUAUUGAUGGUUUUGGUUCGAUGAUGAUAAUGAUGUUUCCUCGAUGAGGAAAUGGUUCACGGGUUGGUUAUUACUAAAACUUGGCUUCCACUGAUAAUAAAUAUCUGACCAACUAAAAGUAACUGCUUGAGCUUAACCCCACAUAAAGCUAGUCCACCUCAGCCAAACGGGACAUUU